AGCACCAGUGGCGGCAGCAUGGUUUCCAUGCCCACCCGCAGGGGCACCAGCGCCCCCUCGCUCCCCUCGCUGACCUGGCUUAUGGAAGGAAGGAAGGCGGAUGGGACCCGGGGACAGCUGGCCUUCUCCGCCCCCAGCCCUCCUCUGCAGCUGAGGGCUGCAGACCCAGCAGGCGCGCGCUGGCAUGCACCCUGGCGGCUCUAUUCAGUCUGCCCCAGCUUGGAAGCUGAACCCAACCCGGGGAGGGAGGCAGCAAAAGGCACCCAGAGAAGGACUGGAGAAGGCCAAACCAAGAGUGCGGGAUCACAGUCAAGGCUGCAGAGCCAGGAAAGACAGAGAUGCAGACUCCACUCCGGACCUGGACCCGCUGCACUGAGAAGUCCUGUGGAUGGCAGGAAGCCAGGAAAGGAUAUGGGGAGGGUCGAGAGGGAGGGCGGCAGCAGAGCAGAAUUGAGGAGCAGGAACUUGAGUGUGCAACUCGUCCCCAAACGUUGCACUUGACCCUCCGAGGGGGCCACCAAGGAUGGUGAAGGUAGGGGGUGCGGCGAACACAGCCACAGCUACGGGGGAAAAGGAGAAGGAAACCUUCCUGAGAAUCAACCAGGAAGCGUAAGGACGAUUGAACUGGCGGUGACUUUGUGUGAGAAAGCUAGACAGGCAAAGAAAGGAAAAUCAGCACUGAAGAGUGGGGCGAGGGAAGAGUUAGAAGCCGGAGGAGAAAGCAAACUGCACCCGAAACUAAAAGGAAAACAAAAAAAGGAAUCAAUAAAGAAAAUUUUCAGAAAGCACGCCAGAGCGAACUUGUUCCAGAAACUGCCAACAGAGGGAGGACAAAAAGGGUGGGGGCGCGGAACACACUGGAGGAACCAAAGUGAAGGAAGGAAGGGAGAGAAGACGGGAUGCAAAUUAAACCAGACACGACAUAGAUAUCAGUUCCAAGGUAGUCUCCUCAUCACAGAUGAAUCAGGACUGCUAACAGGUGUCUGAGGUCUGUGCUUCCUCAUCCGUGACAUGAGUUUUUAGCAAGACUAACCAUGGCAGCUACUCUCAGGAUCCCCUAAAGAUGCCUUUACCCACAGCAGGAAGUAAUUUUUUUUUCCUGGGGAAAGAUAACAUUUUAUUGGAUCUAGACAUGCCAGCUCCUGGCAGCACCAAUCUACUUCAGAGAAGAUAUGGGCA
Molecule: long non-coding RNA, 1179 nt
Organism: Peromyscus maniculatus bairdii (prairie deer mouse)
Lineage: Eukaryota; Metazoa; Chordata; Mammalia; Rodentia; Cricetidae
Source: RefSeq, a predicted model, not a curated record